GACAGAGGGUGCAAACGUUGCUCGGAAUUACUGGGCGUAAAGCGCGUGUAGGUGGCUUGUUAAGUCGGGUGUGAAAUCCCUCGGCUCAACCGAGGAAGUGCAUUCGAUACUGGCAAGCUCGAGUACCGGAGAGGGUCGUGGAAUUCCUGGUGUAGAGGUGAAAUUCGUAGAUAUCGGGAGGAACACCGGUGGCGAAGGCGGGUCUCUGGGCAAUUCCUGACGCUGAGGCGCGAAAGCGUGGGGAGCAAACGGG
RNAcentral lists this ribosomal RNA (253 nucleotides) under uncultured bacterium. Its description in RNAcentral is "partial 16S ribosomal RNA". It matches the Rfam family "Bacterial small subunit ribosomal RNA", at positions 524 to 776 of the family's 1533-position model. The record is from RNAcentral.